RNAcentral lists this long non-coding RNA (838 nucleotides) under Marmota monax (woodchuck). Lineage: Eukaryota; Metazoa; Chordata; Mammalia; Rodentia; Sciuridae. The record is from RNAcentral.
UGAGAGGCCACACCUGGGACACCGCCCAGUUCCCCUCUGCCUGGUCCAAAGGAGGACUUUGGAGGACUCUGAGAAGGACUUAUCUAACAGAGAAUCCUGAGUGGGAACUUCUGGGGCCUCUCGAGGGAAGAUGGUCAUGGCGGGUGGGGUCAUCCUGGGUUUCAGCUCAUCAUCCAUCUUGGAGAAAGAUGCAUAUCUUAAUGGAGGUUGAGACUCUUUACAAAAGAAGCCCAAAUAACCCAAGUCGGCUUCCCCACAUCCAGGGGUAGAGCUCAGUCUCCUCUUCUCUUGCUCCCUGCAACCUUAAAAAUGGGUGGUGGCAACCACUUUCUUCCUGUGAGGACAGGUGACUGAGAGUCAUCGCCCCCCAUCUUCCCGGUAACCCAUUGCCCCUGUCUCAUGAGUAAACAUCACGUCAACCCCAACAAAAGGGCCUCCUGCAAAAUCCCUGACCAAGGGACAUGACUAAGUACCAUGUGGGGUGGUUGUGGUCUGGAUCUGGAUUGUCCCCCAAUAUGUUAUGUUUUUUUUUCCCCAGGGGAACUCUAGUGGACUGUGGACAAAAAACCUCAAACUGUGAGCCCAAACAUUUUUCCUCUAAGCUUUUUCUCAGCUGUUUUGUCAUAGCAAUGAAAAGCUGACUGACACAGGAGUCCUGGAAGAGACCUUACAGAAAACACAGAACACAGGUGUAAAAAGUGGUGCAUCCAACUGAAGACUGCCGUUAACGGGAAUGUACUGUGGUUGGUCUUGGUUUUGGUGACGGUUCUGUGAAAGAUGUUAACGUUAGGGGUGAGGGCUAUUGAGGACUCUGUAUUAUCUGUAAAUCUAAAAUAAU